Molecule: ribosomal RNA, 952 nt
Filed under: Salmonella enterica
Lineage: Bacteria; Pseudomonadati; Pseudomonadota; Gammaproteobacteria; Enterobacterales; Enterobacteriaceae
Description: partial 23S ribosomal RNA
Rfam family: Bacterial large subunit ribosomal RNA
Source: RNAcentral
UGUGACUGCGUACCUUUUGUAUAAUGGGUCAGCGACUUAUAUUCUGUAGCAAGGUUAACCGAAUAGGGGAGCCGGAGGGAAACCGAGUCUUAACCGGGCGUUAAGUUGCAGGGUAUAGACCCGAAACCCGGUGAUCUAGCCAUGGGCAGGUUGAAGGUUGGGUAACACUAACUGGAGGACCGAACCGACUAAUGUUGAAAAAUUAGCGGAUGACCUGUGGCUGGGGGUGAAAGGCCAAUCAAACCGGGAGAUAGCUGGUUCUCCCCGAAAGCUAUUUAGGUAGCGCCUCGUGAAUUCAUCUCCGGGGGUAGAGCACUGUUUCGGCUAGGGGGCCAUCCCGGCUUACCAACCCGAUGCAAACUGCGAAUACCGGAGAAUGUUAUCACGGGAGACACACGGCGGGUGCUAACGUCCGUCGUGAAGAGGGAAACAACCCAGACCGCCAGCUAAGGUCCCAAAGUCAUGGUUAAGUGGGAAACGAUGUGGGAAGGCCCAGACAGCCAGGAUGUUGGCUUAGAAGCAGCCAUCAUUUAAAGAAAGCGUAAUAGCUCACUGGUCGAGUCGGCCUGCGCGGAAGAUGUAACGGGGCUAAACCAUGCACCGAAGCUGCGGCAGCGACGCUGAUGCGUUGUUGGGUAGGGGAGCGUUCUGUAAGCCUGCGAAGGUGGCCUGUGAGGGUUGCUGGAGGUAUCAGAAGUGCGAAUGCUGACAUAAGUAACGAUAAAGCGGGUGAAAAGCCCGCUCGCCGGAAGACCAAGGGUUCCUGUCCAACGUUAAUCGGGGCAGGGUGAGUCGACCCCUAAGGCGAGGCCGAAAGGCGUAGUCGAUGGGAAACGGGUUAAUAUUCCCGUACUUGGUGUUACUGCGAAGGGGGGACGGAGAAGGCUAUGUUGGCCGGGCGACGGUUGUCCCGGUUUAAGCGUGUAGGUGUGUGUUCCAGGUAAAUCCGGUU